AUGCGGUCGCAUGGCCUAAAAAAAAAAAAAAAAAAAAAAAAAUUUUUUUUUUUUUUUUUUUUUUUUUAGGCCAUGCGACCGCAU
Molecule: small nucleolar RNA, 84 nt
Filed under: Olea europaea subsp. europaea
Lineage: Eukaryota; Viridiplantae; Streptophyta; Magnoliopsida; Lamiales; Oleaceae
Source: RNAcentral